GACGAACGCUGGCGGCGUGCUUAACACAUGCAAGUCGAACGAAGUGGCGAACGGGUGAGUAACGCGUAAUCAACCUGCCCUUCAGAGGGGGACAACAGUUGGAACCGACUGCUAAUACCGCAUACUGAAGGAGGGGAUUGCGUCGGAUUAGCUAGUUGGAGGGGUAACGGCCCACCAAGGCGAUGAUCAGUAGCCGGGUUGAGAGGGUGAACGGCCCCAGUGGGACUGAGACACGGGCCAGAAUCCUACGGGAGGCAGCAGGGGGGAAUCUUCCGCAAUGGACGAAAGUCUGACGGAGCAACUCCGGGUGAGUGGUGACGGCCUUCGGGUUGUAAAGCUCUGUUAAUCGGGACGCGGUACCGGAAUAGAAAGCCACGGCUAACUACGUGCCAGCAGCCGCGGUAAUUC
Molecule: ribosomal RNA, 408 nt
Filed under: uncultured bacterium
Lineage: Bacteria
Description: partial 16S ribosomal RNA
Rfam family: Bacterial small subunit ribosomal RNA
Source: RNAcentral